GAAUGCUGCUCUGGCUUUUAUAAAGAGAAUAAUACGUGUCAUGAAUGUGUAGGAUCAUUUGGUUUCAACUGUUCAGAUCCGUGUCCUGAAGGUUAUUAUGGACCACUAUGCCACCUCAAAUGUUCUUGUUCCGCCAGUGAAUAUUGUCACAGCAAAUUGGGUUGUCUAAAGAAUCAAAAAAAAGGCAACGACCAAAAAGAAAUAACUACAUUGACCAAACUUUUCCCCAGCCAGCCAGUGAAUAUCUAGGCAUGAAUGUAACAACAUGUGCAUCAGCUGCAUUUCCAGUGGUUUCAUUCCAAACAAAGCCAUUUGAAACUACUAUUACUUACUAUGAUUGCAUUUGAUGAAAUCAUAUAUGAAUCUAAGACGUAUUACGCCUAUUUUUUGAAAU
Molecule: long non-coding RNA, 394 nt
Organism: Saccostrea cuccullata (small rock oyster)
Lineage: Eukaryota; Metazoa; Mollusca; Bivalvia; Ostreida; Ostreidae
Exons: 3
Source: RefSeq, a predicted model, not a curated record